CUUACUAAAUCAUUUGUUUUUUUAUUAGCGUUGAUAUAAAAUGAGUCUAUUUCUUAGUAUAAUAGUUACAAUCCAGUUCAUUCAAUUUGUUGAAGGUUCUAAAAUUUGAAUUUUUACAAGAUGAAGUACCAUCUUGAUGCUGAGUUGUGACAGAUGGUGAGAAAAUAGUUCAAACAGUAACUUUGGGAAUUUUACUACUGUAUUGGAGUUGCUCGAUGAUCAGGAUGGAGAUAUGUUAGGCCAACCCUUCAUGUGGCCCAUGUAUCAGUUGAGAGAUGUGUAGUACUCUGGGUAGAUCAGUGAUACAUUACUAUGUCGGCUGCUUACUUCAGUCAACAGCGAUACCCUCCACUUCAAUCUCAUGGGCAAGGUUGCUAGUUUCUCUAUAUUUGAAUUUUUCUUGAUUACUGGAUUGAAGAUUAUGGGCAAUGAAGCAGCUAGAGACGGCACUCAAAGUAGUAGUGUGAUGUACAACGUGUAUUUUCAGGGAUAGGGAUGGUGCUUCUACCGCAAUUAGUUGGCAAAAUCGAGGAAUGCGACUAGAUGUUGAAGCUGGAACUGGUCUAUAUCCUUGAGAGUGUGGUGUGGUGAUCUCACAAAAAGACUAUGAUCAACCUUUUUCAUUGGAAAAUUAUUGAUGACAUUGAUACCUCCAACAAUAAUCCGUAAGGUAGAGAUAUUUUGAGGACAUCGUGUACGUCUUCAUACAUCACAUUUGAAGCCUAAGAAAUUCUCAUACUGUCCCUAUCUUGGGUAGGCGAGAGGAGACAUGCUCACCUCAGAUGCAUCAUUAGCAAGCAGCAGACGUUUGUUCAUCUGUUGAGGCGAAAAGGAGGACGUUCGUAGACUAGACAUACUCCAAUCUCUUCCGAAAUGUAGACCCAACUAAGUGAAAAGCGUUUGAAACAAAGGGGAGAAGAAUUAUACUCGGAGCUAGCUAGACGAAAGCUCAAAGGACAAUCUCGGACACUAAGUGGUUUCAUGAUAUCCUCACUUCGACAGCUUGGCUCACCGACGAUGGCUCGAAGAUAUUCGAGAUCAUUUUGACAUUUCGAGUUGAGUCAUAUUGAGGACCGAGUUUCUAUUUGCCAUUAAUAUUAAAUAAUAGUCAAUCCAACCUAUGGGAAAUGAGUAUACGGUGCUUAAAUACAUGCUCGAGUGGGUCAUAUGGAUGUGGUCGAGUGUCGGAGAAAGCCAUGUACGGGUUGUAAGUAUAUGUACAUUCCAGAGAGUGUGAAUCAUCACUGCUUUGUCAUGGAUAUUGUCUUUACUGAUUUCACUAUAUAUGUGUACCAAUCCGAUCAUAUCUUUCUAAAAAA
Long non-coding RNA from Olea europaea var. sylvestris, 1319 nucleotides. RefSeq lists it as uncharacterized. The transcript is spliced from 5 exons. Lineage: Eukaryota; Viridiplantae; Streptophyta; Magnoliopsida; Lamiales; Oleaceae. The record is from RefSeq and is a predicted model, not a curated record.